Frieseomelitta varia is the source of this 3689-nucleotide RNA transcript. It is a transcript of the gene named vacuolar protein sorting-associated protein 41 homolog, with no coding region annotated. NCBI's taxonomy places the organism in Eukaryota, Metazoa, Arthropoda, Insecta, Hymenoptera, Apidae. The record is from RefSeq and is a predicted model, not a curated record. The transcript has 15 exons.
AACUAGAAAAAGGAGAGUUUAUGACAUAUAAUUAAAACGUGUAUCAGAAAAAGGUUUUGACAUUUCGUGGUUACGAACAUUAAAAAUCUUCUUUAUAAUUCGAGAAUUAAAGAAACGGACAUGGAUAAUAUCUCGAAUAAGGAAGAACAAAACAAUCAGGAUGAUUCAGACUCUGAGAUAGACGAGGUAGAGCCUAGACUUAAAUACGUCAGGGUACGAAACGAUCUACAACAUAUAUUACAAAAUGAUGCAGCUAGUUGCAUUGCAGUGCAUCCUAAGUUCCUAUGUCUGGGCUCACACUGGGGUAUGAUACAUCUUUUAGAUCAUCAAGGAAAUAAUAUACAAUCUAAAAGUUUACAAGCGCAUACAGUUGCUGUCAACCAGAUUUCUAUAGACCACAAUGGAGAUUUCAUUGCAUCUUGUAGUGAUGAUGGAAAAGUUUUUAUAUAUGGUCUUUACAGCACAGAGAAUAAUCACAAUAUGAGCAUGGGUAGAUUAGUCAAAAGCAUAGCUAUAGAUCCAAAUUAUUAUAAAAGUGGUAGUGGGAGAAGAUUUAUUACAGGGGAUGAUAAGUUGGUUUUGUAUGAAAAAACAUUUUUAUCCAGAAUGAAACUAACUGUAUUGUGUGAUGCAGAAGGUGGAGUAAGAUCAAUUGCAUGGAUUGGACACUUUGUGGCUUGGGCAUCUGAUACUGGUGUCAGAAUCUAUGAUUUAAAUGCCAAGUGUUCAUUAGGUCUUAUUAAAUGGAAUAGAUCUGCUGAUGCAUUACCAGAGCACUAUAGGUGUAAUCUUCGAUGGUCUGAUGAUAGAACAUUAUUAAUCGGAUGGGUUGACAUAGUAAGAAUUUGUCAAAUUAGAAAGAGAUCAAUACAAGAAAUGAUUAACAGAGACCUACCAGAAUUUGUAGUGGAUCCAGUUUCAACUUUCCAAGUGGAUUUUUACAUUUCUGGUAUUGCACCUUUAGAAAAUCAAUUAGUAUUACUAGGAUGCUUGAAAGAAUUAGAUGAAAAUGGAAAAAGUCAGAGACCCACUUUACAUGUUGUUGAACCAAAAUAUCAAGAUUUCACUCUUGUUUGUGCAAAUUCCCUCACACUCCGUGGUUAUAAAGAAUACAGCUGUAAUGAUUAUCAUUUAGAUUGUUUGAAAGAAGAAAACAGGUUUUUUAUCGUAAGUCCAAAAGAUAUUGUUGUAGCUAGUUUAUAUGAUGCAGAUGACAGAAUUGAAUGGUUAUUAUGUCAUAGUAAAUUUGAACAAGCAUUAGAGGCAGUAACAAUAAACAAUGGAAAAGACUGUACAAAAUACACUUUAGUUUUUGUUGGCCGUGUAUACUUAGAUCAUUUGUUAGCUUGUGGGAAAUAUGAUGAAGCAGGAAAACUCUGCUCUAAAAUUUUAGGAAAGGAUAAAAAAUUAUGGGAGGAAGAAGUGUACAAAUUUGCAAGAGUUCAUCAGUUACGGUCUAUUUCUUCUUAUCUUCCAAGAGGCGAUGUCACAUUAGAUCCAUUGAUUUACGAAAUGGUUCUUUAUGAAUAUUUGAAAAUGGAUCCUGAUGGAUUUCUUCAACUAGUCAAAGAAUGGUCUCCUAAAUUGUAUAAAGUUGCAGCUGUUGUCAAUGGUGUUUUGGAACAUCUUCUAAUUCAUAAUCAACGACAAAAUGUACUGUUAGAAGCUUUAGCAAUUCUAUAUAUUUACGACGAAAAAUACGACAAAGCAUUGGCCAUGUAUUUAAAAUUAAGACAUAAAGAUGUAUUUCAACUUAUUCAGAAAUAUCAAUUGUAUAAUACCGUUUACGACAUGAUAGAAGGUUUAAUGGAUCUAGAUGCGGAACGUGCUAUACAAUUUUUUUUAGAAAAAGACAGAGUGCCAUCUGAUAUUGUUGUACAAAAAUUACAACGUAAUCAUCGAUAUUUAUAUUUGUAUUUAGAUGCAUUAGAUAAAAAAGAUACGAAAGGAAAAUACCAUGGAUUGUUAGUUCAACUUUAUGCUAAUUAUUCAAGAGAUAAAUUGUUACCACUUCUACGUCGUUCUGAUAAUUAUCCAAUACAGCAAGCGCUAGAUAUUUGUAGCCAGCGAAAAUUUUAUCCAGAAAUGGUAUACUUACUUGGUAGAAUUGGAAAUACUUCUGAGGCUUUAGCACUUAUGACUAGAGAAUUGAAUGAUAUGCAAAGCGCGAUCGCAUUUUGUCAAGAACACGAUGACGAGGAAUUGUGGAAUGAUUUAAUUAUUUAUUCUCUUGAUAAGCCUCAGGCUAUCACAUUUCUAUUGCAAAAAAUAGGCACUUAUGUCGAUCCUAGACUCAUGGUACAAAGAAUAGAACCGUCUUUAGAAAUUCCUGGUUUAAAGAAAGCUUUAGUCAAGAUGAUGUGUGAUUAUAAUCUUCAAGUGUCGGUACAAGAAGGAUGUAAAAAAAUUUUAUCCAAUGAUUAUUUUAAUUUACAUGAAAGGCUAGUUAAAUGUUAUCAAAGAGGAAUAUUUAUAGAUGAUGAUCAAAUGUGUGGAGCUUGCCAUAGAAAAAUAAUUGUAAAAGAACCAAGAAAUCUAGUUGUAUUUUAUUGCAAACAUUCAUUUCAUGAAGAUUGUUUACCAAAUUUCGAAGUAGUGGAAAAUUGUGUUAUAUGUAAUUCCCAAAAAGAUAUAUCACCUAACAGAAAAUGAUACAGUAGAACAUUUUGUACAUAUUCUGAACACUUUAAGACAUCCAGGACAUUUCAAAUAAAACUGAAAAUUAAAAAAUUACACAAUGUAAUUUUGAUGUUGCUGAACUGAUAAGUUUUGACCCACCGAAAUGACCCUCAAUAGACAUCGAAGAUUGCACAUGCACUAAAAAUUCCCAAGCCUUAGGUCCGAUGGAUUCUACCACAACACAAUAGCCGCCUAUUGGUUUCGUAUCCUUUAUAGGUUUACUUUUUGAACAAAUUAUUAAGGUCUCUCGAAAACAUAAAUCCUUUUGAUUUAUAUCGUCUAAGGUACAAAAAGAAAAAAGAAAACUAUUCAGAGAAUGCAGCAUAUUAUUUUUUUCAACAAAAAUCUACUGUUUAACAAUGAAAACAGUAUAGCAUAUAAGUAUAAAAAUAGUUACAUUCCAUAUACAAUUCAUUUCACCAGUGACGAAUAAAUUUAGUAAUUUGUAUAUUGUAUAUUUUUCUAUGCUAUAUUUUACUACGUUCCAUUUUUUUGUGAACGUUUAUUUGUUUUAUUUAUGAAACAUCUUUAUUCGUUAUUGGAGAAACUUAUUUAAAAUAAUUUAUUUUAAGAAGAUGUGAGAUAGAUAUUUUGUAUUAUUUGAAAAACUUUUUAACAAAUUCAUUGGUCACAUAUAAUUGCUUUGUUUGAAAUUAUCUAAUCGUGAAUCCAUAAUUUAUUGUACAUACUAACAUAUACAUUAAGGUUUUAGAAAAUUAUUUUACAAUAAAACGUGAGGAAAUUACGAUUUAUACUUUAAUAUGUACAGUAAGAAGUUUGUCAAAUUGUUACAAUAUAUAUUUUGUAUUUUAUACAACAAGGUGCCAUUAUUGUAUAAAAUAAUUUUGGUAUGUUCUGUGGUAUUUGAGAGAAUCUACGAAUACAAAAUUUGCAUAAUAUCACAGUUAUACCUAAGUCUCUAGGUCUCUAUGUAAAUAUUCUGUCUAAGUUGCAAUGUAGAACAAUAAUAUGUAAAAUACAAUUAAUAUAUAAAUUUUUUACAUCGCUCA